GGACGGGUGAGGAAUACAUCGGAAUCUGCCCAGUCGUGGGGGAUAACAUAGGGAAACUUAUGCUAAUACCGCAUACGACCUACGGGUGAAAGCGGGGGAUCGCAAGACCUCGCGCGAUUGGAUGAGCCGAUGUCCGAUUAGCUAGUUGGCGGGGUAAUGGCCCACCAAGGCGACGAUCGGUAGCUGGUCUGAGAGGAUGAUCAGCCACACUGGAACUGAGACACGGUCCAGACUCCUACGGGAGGCAGCAGUGGGGAAUAUUGGACAAUGGGCGCAAGCCUGAUCCAGCCAUGCCGCGUGGGUGAAGAAGGCCUUCGGGUUGUAAAGCCCUUUUGUCCGGAAAGAAAAGCACUGGAUUAAUACUUCGGUGUUCUGACGGUACCGGAAGAAUAAGCACCGGCUAACUUCGUGCCAGCAGCCGCGGUAAUACGAAGGGUGCAAGCGUUACUCGGAAUUACUGGGCGUAAAGCGUGCGUAGGUGGUUCGUUAAGUCUGAUGUGAAAGCCCUGGGCUCAACCUGGGAACUGCAUUGGAUACUGGCGGGCUAGAGUGCGGUAGAGGAUGGCGGAAUUCCCGGUGUAGCAGUGAAAUGCGUAGAGAUCGGGAGGAACAUCUGUGGCGAAGGCGGCCAUCUGGACCAGCACUGACACUGAGGCACGAAAGCGUGGGGAGCAAACAGGAUUAGAUACCCUGGUAGUCCACGCCCUAAACGAUGCGAACUGGAUGUUGGGUGCAACUAGGCACUCAGUAUCGAAGCUAACGCGUUAAGUUCGCCGCCUGGGGAGUACGGUCGCAAGACUGAAACUCAAAGGAAUUGACGGGGGCCCGCACAAGCG
Molecule: ribosomal RNA, 836 nt
Filed under: uncultured bacterium
Lineage: Bacteria
Description: bacterial SSU rRNA
Rfam family: Bacterial small subunit ribosomal RNA
Source: RNAcentral